Molecule: long non-coding RNA, 596 nt
Filed under: Lonchura striata (white-rumped munia)
Lineage: Eukaryota; Metazoa; Chordata; Aves; Passeriformes; Estrildidae
Description: domestica (Bengalese finch) lncRNA (ENSLSDG00000008385.1)
Source: RNAcentral
UCCCGGAACGGGAGCGAGGGGUGAUGCCGGCACGGGGGAGAGAUGAGGAGGGGAGAAGAAGGGAGGAAAAAGAGAGAGGGAAAAGCGGGAGAAACAGUGAAAAUAAGGAGAGGAAAAAAGAGAGGGAAAAGCGGGGGAAAGAGAGAGGUGGAAGCCAGGGAAGGAGAGAAAAAGAGAGAGCUAGAGAAAGAGAGAGGAAAAAGGGACAUAAAAAGGGGAGGAGAGAAAUAGAGAGAGGAAAAAGGAGAGAAGGAGGGAAAAAGAGAGAAAUAAGGAAAAAAGGAGAGAAGGAGAGAAAAAUAAAGAAAAAAGGAGAGGAAAAAGGAGAGAAGGAGAGAAAAAUAAGGAAAAAAGGAGAGGAAAAAGGAGAGAAGGAGAGAAAAAGAGAGAAAUAAGGAAAAAAGGAGAGGAAAAAGGGCAAAUGAGAACAAAAGCAGAAGAAAAGAGGAAAAAGAAAAAGGAGAAAAAGAGAAAUAGUGGGAAGAAAAAAGGGGAAAGGAGAGAAAAAGCAGAAGAGGAAAAAGAAACAGGAAAAAAGAAAUAGAGGGAGGAAAAAAGAAAAUAAAAGGAGGAAAAAUGAGAAAAAGGGAAAGAUG